CCUACGGGGGACAGCAGUCGAGAAUCAUUCACAAUGGGGGAAACCCUGAUGGUGCGACGCCGCGUGGGGGAAUGAAGGUCUUCGGAUUGUAAACCCCUGUCAUGUGGGAGCAAAUUAAAAAGAUAGUACCACAAGAGGAAGAGACGGCUAACUCUGUGCCAGCAGCCGCGGUAAUACAGAGGUCUCAAGCGUUGUUCGGAAUCACUGGGCGUAAAGCGUGCGUAGGCUGUUUCGUAAGUCGGGUGUGAAAGGCGCGGGCUCAACCCGCGGACGGCACAUGAUACUGGGAGACUAGAGUAAGGGAGGGGGAAGCGGAAUUCUCGGUGUAGCAGUGAAAUGCGUAGAUAUCGAGAGGAACACUCGUGGCGAAGGCGGGUUCCUGGACAUUAACUGACGCUGAGGCACGAAGGCCAGGGGAGCGAAAGGGAUUAGAUACCCUGGUAGUC
RNAcentral lists this ribosomal RNA (446 nucleotides) under uncultured bacterium. Its description in RNAcentral is "partial 16S ribosomal RNA". It matches the Rfam family "Bacterial small subunit ribosomal RNA", at positions 338 to 795 of the family's 1533-position model. The record is from RNAcentral.